CCUACGGGCGGCAGCAGUGGGGAGUAUUGCACAAUGGGGGAAACCCUGAUGCAGCGACGCCGCGUGAGUGAAGAAGUAUUUCGGUACGUAAAGCUCUAUCAGCAGGGAAGAAAAUGACGGUACCUGACUAAGAAGCCCCGGCUAACUACGUGCCAGCAGCCGCGGUAAUACGUAGGGGGCAAGCGUUAUCCGGAUUUACUGGGUGUAAAGGGAGCGUAGACGGCAGCGCAAGUCUGGAGUGAAAUCCCAUGGCUUAACCAUGGAACUGCUUUGGAAACUGUGCAGCUAGAGUGCAGGAGAGGUAAGCGGAAUUCCUAGUGUAGCGGUGAAAUGCGUAGAUAUUAGGAGGAACACCAGUGGCGAAGGCGGCUUACUGGACUGUAACUGACGUUGAGGCUCGAAAGCGUGGGGAGCAAACAGGAUUAGAUACCCCAGUAGUC
Molecule: ribosomal RNA, 440 nt
Filed under: uncultured bacterium
Lineage: Bacteria
Description: partial 16S ribosomal RNA
Rfam family: Bacterial small subunit ribosomal RNA
Source: RNAcentral